UCUUUAUACGACAAUUGUCUUAUUCCUAAUUCAUCUUUUUCAUGGCCAUAGUAAAUAUCAAUCUUUUUUUUCAGUGAAGAAUUUCAGUAAAGUUAUUUUUUUAAUAAUAACUCCGUCUAUAUUUCACUGAGGAAUAUUUAUUGUUUCCCCCGAUAAAAGACUACCUUGCCUAUGUACAAAUUCUUGCACCACCACUUAUUGCCCCCAAAUUCUAUAUACAUUUUAAAAUUUUCUGCUGUAGUUUAAUACAGCAGAAAACAGCAACAAAAAUAUCUGAGGUCAUGUGUAUUCCUUAAAAAUAACUUGUUUUGUUUCUUUUUCUUUUUCCUUUUUUUUCUUCCUACCAGGACAUUUGCAUAACUCUGUUUUGGAUUCAACUUAGGGUUCUCAUUUUGGGGGGUUUGAAAUAUAAUUAAGAUCUUAAAUCAGCAUACUCAGAUACUUUUAAAGCUCAAGAAAGUUUCUCCUUUUAUAUAAUUGACUAUGGCUUAUAUCAUCAUUUUCUAUUGGAGCUCCAUUCUCUAUCCUCCGUGUCUAUCAACUUCUCCUUCAAUACUUUUAUUUUUUGCUUCCUUUCAAUCUUCCUCCCUUCUUCCAUUCCUAACUUUCUCCCUCUUCUUCUCUCUCUCUCUUUUGCAACUUAAAAAAAAUUAUUGUCUCACAGAUUUUGUGAAUUUGGCAUUUGAGAUGACCUUAGCUAGUUAUUUCUACCUCACAAGGUUGGCCAGGGCUGCAGCCAUCUGAAGGUUUAGCCACAGCUAGAGGAUUCACUUCCAAAAUGACUAUUGGCAAAAGGCCUCAGUUCCUGGCUGUCGUUGGCAGAAGACCUCGGUUCCUCACCACGUGGACUUCAUAGGGACGCUUGAGUGCCCUUGGAUGCAGUAACUGGCUUUUCUCAGAGCAAAUAAUCCAAGAGAAACACUCUUCCAAACCAGCAUCCUCUCACUGGUCUACGAUAGUUUCAACACUGCUGUCUUCUGGAAUUGUGUUCACUGAAUACAGAAAGUAGAUGAGUAUGCAGAGCAGUAAGGGUAAAGAGAAUUAUCAUAAGAAAUGGACCCACAUUACUAUGGAGAACUGCAGUCAGCAAGCUGAAGAACCAGGAGAUCUGAUGGUUAAGUUCCUCUUCAAGAGAAGGAGAAGACAAAGGUCCCUUCUCAAGCAUCAGGUUAGAGGAGUUCUCUGCUACUUAGUGUUUUUUGUUCCAUUUACGUCUUCAAUUGACUAGAUGAGGCACACUCACAUCAGGGAAGGCAAUCUGCUUCACCCAGUCUACUAAGUCAAAUGUUAAUCUCAUUCAGAAAUACUCUAACAAACACAACCAUAAUUAUAUUUGACCAAAUGUGUGGGCACCCCAUUGCCCAAUCAUGUUGACACAGAAAACCAUCAAAGGAAGCGAAGCACCAGAUCUUAUUUAAGUAUUUAGAUUUUGUUUUUAAAGUAGACAAGGAGGAUAUUCUUCUGAGGGUAAUAACACCACCUGAUCUGUUUUGGGAAACAUAACAGCAGCAAAGAACCUUCUGGAUAUAUCUACACAUGGUUCUAAUAAGAAUGGUCUUUGCAGCAUAUUUCUAAUAUCAAAAACUUUAAACAACAUAAGUGUUCAUCAAAAGAAAAAUGGCUAAAUAUAUUUUGGAUUACAGCAUAUUGACAUAAUAAAAUAUUGUGUAACCAGUUAAGAAAAAACAAAUUGAGGAAGUUAUUUAAACUGAUAGGAAAUUAUCUCCAAAAUAUAUUAAUUGAAAAAGCAAGAUGUGAAACAGUACAUACAGAAUGCUACUAUAUAAGAAAGAAAAUAGGAGAAGAAUUAUUUUACUUGCAUAUGCAUAUUAUCUAGAAUGACAGAAGAAACUGGUGGCAUUGAUUGGCUUCAGAAAUAGAACAGAGGGGUUAGAAAGCAGGAAACAUUGCUGCGAAGGCUUUUGCAGUUGUUAAAUUUAGAAAUGUGCACAAAAGUCUGUAGCAUUUGUUAUACCAAUACUGAACUAUCUGAAAAAGAAAUCAAGAAAAAAAAUCCCAUUAACAACAGCUACAGAAAAAUAGUACCUAGAAGAUGAACGAUCUCUGCACUGAAAACUAUGAAACAUGUAUGGAAGAAAUAGAAGAGAACAUAAAUAAAUGGAAAGAUAUUCCAAGUUCACCGAUUAGAAGAAUUAAUAUCAUUAAAUGUCUACACUGCCCAAAGUAAACUACAAAUUCUGCACAGUCCCUAUCAAAACACUAAUGACACUUUUCACAGAAAUAGAAAAAAAAGAUACUAAAUUUGCAUGAAACCACAAAAGAUCCAGAAUAGCAAAAGCAAUUUUGACGAAAAAAAAAAAAAAACAUAGCUGGAGACAUUACACUACCUAACUUCAAAUUCUACUUCAAAGCUAUAGUAAUCAAAACAGCAUGGUACUGGCAUUAAAAGCAGGCACAUAGAUUAGCAGAAGAGAAUGGAGAACUCAGAAACAAAACCAUGCAUGUACAUCCAACUGAUUUUCAACAAAGGUAUGAAGAACAGACAUGGAGAAAGGAUACUUUUCAAUAAAUGGUGGUGGAAAAAUUGGAUCUCCACAUACAGAAGAAUGAAACUAAACCUCUAUCUUUCAACAUAUACAAAAAUUAACUCAAAAUGGACUAAAGACUUUAAUUUAAGACCUAAGACUAUAAAGCUACUCUAAGAAAACACAGAGAAAAUGCUUUAUAACACUGGUUUGGGCAAGGAUUGUUUUGGAUAGGAUCUUAAAAGUAUAAGUCACAAAAACAAAAAUACAGAAAUGAGAUUACAUGAAACUAAAAAGCUGCUACACAGCAAAGGAAACAAUCAACAGAGUGGAGGUACAACCUACAAAAUGGUAGAAAACAUUUGCAAACAAUACAUCUGACAAGAGGUUUCCAGAAUAUACAAGAAACUCAAACAACCCAAUAGCAAAAAGAAUAAAUAGUGCCAUUAAAAAUUGGGCAAAGGACAUGAGUAGAUAUUUCUCAAAAGAAGACAUGUAAAUGGCCAAUAGGUGUAUGCAAAAAUACUCAACAUCAUCAAUUGUCAUGGAAAUGCAAAUCAAAACCUCAAUGAGGUAUCACCUAACUCCAGUUAGACGGGCUAGUAUUGAAAAGACAAAAUCUGACAAGUGUUGGCAAGGAUACGGAAAAACCUGAAUGCUUACACACUGUUGAUGGUAAUGUAAGUUAGUACAGUGAUUAUAGAAAAUGAUACGAUGUUUCAUUAAAAAAUUUAAAAUAGAAUUAUCAUGUGAUCCAGCAACCCUACUAUUGGUUAUAUAUCCAAAAGAAAUAAAACCAGUAUAUUGAAAAGA
RNAcentral lists this long non-coding RNA (3299 nucleotides) under Homo sapiens (human). RNAcentral describes it as "HSALNT0304816". Lineage: Eukaryota; Metazoa; Chordata; Mammalia; Primates; Hominidae. The record is from RNAcentral.